UAAUUGCACCAUGACAUUCACCCCCAAAUCCUUCAGUUUCCAUCUAAAAAAAGUUUCAUCUGCGAGAAAUAAUAGGUGAACACAGAAACCAGCCCUCAGCUGAACGAGCCACGCAGGAGUACAGAAAACACACAUACGCGCAACCAUCAACAUCUACCAGCUACCUCGGUUAUUAGUCAUCUGGCCUUACAACUUUUUGUCUGACUUUCACUACAUAGCUCAUAAGCUGUAUUCCUUCUGAUACCACUUCCACAAGCCAACUCCAGAACAUGCCCAGGCUAGCCUGCUGGCAGAUGCGAGACAUGUGAAUCAGAGCCAAUCACCGAGUUACCCCACAUAUUGAGUAUCUACUAUGCAACAGAUAACCUUACAGCUUCUGUCUUCCUCAACAGCAUUUUCAG
Long non-coding RNA from Trichechus manatus latirostris (Florida manatee), 401 nucleotides. RefSeq lists it as uncharacterized. The record is from RefSeq and is a predicted model, not a curated record. Lineage: Eukaryota; Metazoa; Chordata; Mammalia; Sirenia; Trichechidae. The transcript is spliced from 3 exons.